UUUGAGAAGAUACAAAGCUGCGGCCGAUCGGUUUUCGUAAGAACGGUCUCUUAGCUCACAAUAUGGCUAUGAGAUCUGAAAACUGAUCGGCAUACUUUUAUUUCAUUUUUUUUUUCCACCCCUAUCUUCCGCUUCGAGUUAAGUAAUUGUAAAUAGUUCAUGAUGAAUUUCUGGUUUUCGAUUAAUAAUAACUGAUCGAAAAGUUGAAUUCGGGCUUGACGCGUCCCUGUAAAAAUGUAAAUAUCACAGUCAACCUUGAAACGGUCAAUUCACGGGCGUGUAGUUCGGCCGUAUUCGGUAAACAGAGUUUGUACGUAAAUUUAUCGUCUCUGCGGCAACGCCAGUAGAACCGCUUCAGUAGAAGGAGCGAAAUCAGGAGCGACGCAUCCUCUGAGGAGAGGGGGGGAUUAAGGUUGAUAAUCGAUGGUCACCGAAUUUGCCGAGUUCUUCGCAGUAUUUAUUCAACUUUGAACUACGUGUGAAGGAGUUGCAUGGCAUCGCGUAGUUCCACAGAUUUUUCGUCUUGGAAUUUGGAUACAACGGCAGUUCAGCUUCAGCGACAGAAGCGGCGACAUCAGGAGCGACAUCAGUAGCAACGCAGUUCCCUCAGAGCGACGAUGGCGAGAGGAAACGGUCGCAGUUCCAACAUCAUCAACAUCAUUGACC
Long non-coding RNA from Athalia rosae (coleseed sawfly), 666 nucleotides. RefSeq lists it as uncharacterized. The transcript is spliced from 4 exons. NCBI's taxonomy places the organism in Eukaryota, Metazoa, Arthropoda, Insecta, Hymenoptera, Athaliidae. The record is from RefSeq and is a predicted model, not a curated record.